GAUAAAAUAAGCUAAAUUAUAAGCUAUUGGGCUCAUACCCCGAAAAUGGAUUUCCCCCUUUUAUCA
Molecule: transfer RNA, 66 nt
Filed under: Nectoneanthes uchiwa
Lineage: Eukaryota; Metazoa; Annelida; Polychaeta; Phyllodocida; Nereididae
Also listed under: 1 other name
Description: tRNA-Met
Source: RNAcentral